AUACGUAGGGUGCAAGCGUUAAUCGGAAUUACUGGGCGUAAAGCGUGCGCAGGCGGUUUUGUAAGACAGUGGUGAAAUCCCCGGGCUCAACCUGGGAACUGCCAUUGUGACUGCAAGGCUGGAGUGCGGCAGAGGGGGAUGGAAUUCCGCGUGUAGCAGUGAAAUGCGUAGAUAUGCGGAGGAACACCGAUGGCGAAGGCAAUCCCCUGGGCCUGCACUGACGCUCGUGCACGAAAGCGUGGGGAGCAAACAGGAUUAGAUACCCUGGUAGUCCACGCCCUAAACGAUGUCAACUGGUUGUUGGGGAUUUAUUUUCUCAGUAACGAAGCUAACGCGUGAAGUUGACCGCCUGGGGAGUACGGCCGCAAGGUUAAAACUCAAAGGAAUUGACGGGG
RNAcentral lists this ribosomal RNA (395 nucleotides) under uncultured bacterium. RNAcentral's name for it is "partial 16S ribosomal RNA". It matches the Rfam family "Bacterial small subunit ribosomal RNA", at positions 523 to 918 of the family's 1533-position model. The record is from RNAcentral.